This 836-nucleotide ribosomal RNA is filed under the name Streptomyces sp. RNAcentral's name for it is "bacterial SSU rRNA". It matches the Rfam family "Bacterial small subunit ribosomal RNA", at positions 22 to 874 of the family's 1533-position model. The record is from RNAcentral. Lineage: Bacteria; Bacillati; Actinomycetota; Actinomycetes; Kitasatosporales; Streptomycetaceae.
CCGUCAGACGAACGCUGGCGGCGUGCUUAACACAUGCAAGUCGAACGAUGAAGCCCUUCGGGGUGGAUUAGUGGCGAACGGGUGAGUAACACGUGGGCAAUCUGCCCUUCACUCUGGGACAAGCCCUGGAAACGGGGUCUAAUACCGGAUAACACUCUGUCCCGCAUGGGACGGGGUUGAAAGCUCCGGCGGUGAAGGAUGAGCCCGCGGCCUAUCAGCUUGUUGGUGGGGUGAUGGCCUACCAAGGCGACGACGGGUAGCCGGCCUGAGAGGGCGACCGGCCACACUGGGACUGAGACACGGCCCAGACUCCUACGGGAGGCAGCAGUGGGGAAUAUUGCACAAUGGGCGAAAGCCUGAUGCAGCGACGCCGCGUGAGGGAUGACGGCCUUCGGGUUGUAAACCUCUUUCAGCAGGGAAGAAGCGAAAGUGACGGUACCUGCAGAAGAAGCGCCGGCUAACUACGUGCCAGCAGCCGCGGUAAUACGUAGGGCGCAAGCGUUGUCCGGAAUUAUUGGGCGUAAAGAGCUCGUAGGCGGCUUGUUGCGUCGGUUGUGAAAGCCCGGGGCUUAACCCCGGGUCUGCAGUCGAUACGGGCAGGCUAGAGUGUGGUAGGGGAGAUCGGAAUUCCUGGUGUAGCGGUGAAAUGCGCAGAUAUCAGGAGGAACACCGGUGGCGAAGGCGGAUCUCUGGGCCAUUACUGACGCUGAGGAGCGAAAGCGUGGGGAGCGAACAGGAUUAGAUACCCUGGUAGUCCACGCCGUAAACGUUGGGAACUAGGUGUUGGCGACAUUCCACGUCGUCGGUGCCGCAGCUAACGCAUUAAGUCCCCGCCU